Molecule: ribosomal RNA, 253 nt
Filed under: uncultured bacterium
Lineage: Bacteria
Description: partial 16S ribosomal RNA
Rfam family: Bacterial small subunit ribosomal RNA
Source: RNAcentral
UACGUAGGGAGCAAGCGUUGUUCGGAUUUACUGGGCGUAAAGGGCGCGUAGGCGGCGCGGUAAGUCACUUGUGAAAUCUCUGAGCUUAACUCAGAACGGCCAAGUGAUACUGCAGUGCUAGAGUGCAGAAAGGGCAAUCGGAAUUCUUGGUGUAGCGGUGAAAUGCGUAGAUAUCAAGAGGAACACCUGAGGCGAAGGCAGCUCACUAAGUCAUAACUGACGCUGAUGCACGAAAGCGUGGGGAGCAAACAGG